This 56-nucleotide microRNA precursor is filed under the name Pteropus alecto (black flying fox). The record is from RNAcentral. Lineage: Eukaryota; Metazoa; Chordata; Mammalia; Chiroptera; Pteropodidae.
UGCUCCAAAGACGGCAAUCAUGUGUCAUAAAGUGUGAUUGACAGCUUUGAGAGUGG